GGAGCGGUAGUUAAGACGGUUGAUAACGCCGGCCUGUCACGCCGGAGGCCGAGGGUUCGAGUCCCUUCCGCUCCGCCA
This 78-nucleotide transfer RNA is filed under the name Desulfovibrionaceae bacterium. RNAcentral describes it as "tRNA-Asp". It matches the Rfam family "tRNA". From Rfam's summary of the family: Transfer RNA (tRNA) molecules are approximately 80 nucleotides in length. Their secondary structure includes four short double-helical elements and three loops (D, anti-codon, and T loops). Further hydrogen bonds mediate the characteristic L-shaped molecular structure. tRNAs have two regions of fundamental functional importance: the anti-codon, which is responsible for specific mRNA codon recognition, and the 3' end, to which the tRNAs corresponding amino acid is attached (by aminoacyl-tRNA synthetases). tRNAs cope with the degeneracy of the genetic code in two manners: having more than one tRNA (with a specific anti-codon) for a particular amino acid; and 'wobble' base-pairing, i.e. permitting non-standard base-pairing at the 3rd anti-codon position. The record is from RNAcentral. Lineage: Bacteria; Pseudomonadati; Thermodesulfobacteriota; Desulfovibrionia; Desulfovibrionales; Desulfovibrionaceae.